This 465-nucleotide ribosomal RNA is filed under the name uncultured bacterium. Its description in RNAcentral is "partial 16S ribosomal RNA". It matches the Rfam family "Bacterial small subunit ribosomal RNA", at positions 339 to 795 of the family's 1533-position model. The record is from RNAcentral.
CUACGGGGGGCAGCAGUGGGGAAUAUUGGACAAUGGGGGAAACCCUGAUCCAGCAAUGCCGCGUGUGUGAAGAAGGCCUGCGGGUUGUAAAGCACUUUCGGUUGGGAGGACUGCUUCUAGCACUAAUAUUGUUGGAAGUUGACGUUACCUUCAGAAGAAGCACCGGCUAACUCCGUGCCAGCAGCCGCGGUAAUACGGAGGGUGCAAGCGUUAAUCGGAAUUACUGGGCGUAAAGCGCGCGUAGGCGGCUAGAUCAGUCGGGUGUGAAAGCCCCGGGCUUAACCUGGGAACUGCAUCCGAUACUGUCUAGCUAGAGUACAGGAGAGGAGAGUGGAAUUCCACAUGUAGCGGUGAAAUGCGUAGAUAUGUGGAGGAACACCAAUGGCGAAGGCAGCUCUCUGGCCUGAUACUGACGCUGAGGUGCGAAAGCGUGGGGUGCAAACAGGAUUAGAUACCCUUGUAGUC